This is a long non-coding RNA of Linepithema humile (Argentine ant), 647 nucleotides long. RefSeq lists it as uncharacterized. The record is from RefSeq and is a predicted model, not a curated record. NCBI's taxonomy places the organism in Eukaryota, Metazoa, Arthropoda, Insecta, Hymenoptera, Formicidae.
CGCGCGCUUCGGAUCGCUUCCCCACCGAUGACGCUCGUUAAACGUCGCGGUACGAGAGGUACGACAAGGUUUGAUAGUAAUGCUAUCUUGUGUUACAUUCGCUCACCUGGCUGGCGGGCCCGUGCGACCUGUUGCGAUGAGAUCGGUACAGUCUUUCGGUCGCGACCUAUUUUGUCGACAACGCGGGAAGAAUCAAAAGAGCCGCCAGAGUUUUACGCCAAGUAGGUAGGUAAGUAGGUAGGUACGAGACGAGAACGGCGAGUCUUUUCUAAACGCGAGUUUUUGGAAUAAUUUUGAAUUUUGUAUGAUUUUAAAUAAAAAAACAAGGUGAUAGUAAUAAUCAUUGAACAAUUUUGCUAUAUUGGGAUUCCCAUUUGCUUGUGUAUACUAAGAUAUCGCAAAAAUUCUUCGUAAAAUAAUUUUUUUUUAAUUUUAAGACGAGUUAAUUCUUUUUUUUUAACUUAAUUUUAGUUUCUUAUGACAAUAUUUUGGAUUGUUCAAAAAACUACAUUCAUCGAUCUCUUACUAUUUAAAUAGUGUUGCGAAGAGAAAAAUUGAUUUAACUCUGUAAACGUUAAAAAUGGAGUUAUUUAAGUGCUGAAUUGCGAUAUAUCGGAUAAUAAAAGGCAAUGUGUCUAAUAAAAUUA